CAGUCGCCGCGGUAAUACGAAGGGGGCUAGCGUUGUUCGGAAUUACUGGGCGUAAAGCGCACGUAGGCGGACAUUUAAGUCAGGGGUGAAAUCCCGGGGCUCAACCCCGGAACUACCUUUGAUACUGGGUGUCUAGAGUAUGGAAGAGGUGAGUGGAAUUCCGAGUGUAGAGGUGAAAUUCGUAGAUAUUCGGAGGAACACCAGUGGCGAAGGCGGCUCACUGGUCCAUUACUGACGCUGAGGUGCGAAAGCGUGGGGAGCAAACAGGAUUAGAUACCCCGGUAGUCCCUGUCUCUUAUAC
Molecule: ribosomal RNA, 301 nt
Filed under: uncultured bacterium
Lineage: Bacteria
Description: partial 16S ribosomal RNA
Rfam family: Bacterial small subunit ribosomal RNA
Source: RNAcentral